This 260-nucleotide long non-coding RNA is filed under the name Coturnix japonica (Japanese quail). RNAcentral's name for it is "lncRNA (ENSCJPG00005001407.1)". Lineage: Eukaryota; Metazoa; Chordata; Aves; Galliformes; Phasianidae. The record is from RNAcentral.
AUGAGAGGCGGAGAGCGUGGCCACUCCCACACCCAUCAGACCACGCCCACUCCCGCAGACCACGCCCACUUCCCAAAGCCCCGCCUCUUCCUCCCCCGCAGCCAAUCAGAUGAGGAGGGCGUGGCCACGCCCCCCCUGGCGGUGGGCGCCAUGUUGGGAGCGGGGUGGUCGGUGAAGGGCGGCCCUAUAGGGGCUAUAGGGGAGAUCUAUAGGGGAUCUAUGGGGAUCUAUGGGGUUCUAUGGGGAUCUAUAGGGGAUCU